This 1035-nucleotide ribosomal RNA is filed under the name uncultured bacterium. RNAcentral describes it as "bacterial SSU rRNA". It matches the Rfam family "Bacterial small subunit ribosomal RNA", at positions 453 to 1499 of the family's 1533-position model. The record is from RNAcentral.
UCUGAGAGGAUGAGAAAGGACAGUAUCUCAGGAAUAAGUCUCGGCUAACUACGUGCCAGCAGCCGCGGUAAAACGUAGGAGGCAAGCGUUAUCCGGGAUUUACUGGGCGUAAAGCGUGUGCAGGUGGUUUGGUAAGUUGGAUGUGAAAGCUCCUGGCUCAACUGGGAGAGGUCGUUCAAUACUACCAGACUUGAGAGCAGUAGAGGGAGGUGGAAUUCCCGGUGUAGUGGUGAAAUGCGUAGAUAUCGGGAGGAACACCAGUGGCGAAAGCGGCCUCCUGGACUGUUUCUGACACUCAGACACGAAAGCUAGGGUAGCAAACGGGAUUAGAGACCCCGGUAGUCCUAGCUGUAAACGAUGUGAACUUGGCGUCGGCGGGUUCAAAGCCGUCGGUGCCGAAGCUAACGCGAUAAGUUCACCGCCUGGGGACUACGGCCGCAAGGUUAAAACUCAAAGGAAUUGACGGGUCCCCGCACAAGCAGCGGAGCGUGUGGUUUAAUUCGAUGUUACACGAAGAACCUUACCCAGGUUUGACAUGUAGGUGGUAGGGAAGCGAAAGCAGACCGACCCGCAAGGGAGCCUACACAGGUGUUGCAUGGCUGUCGUCAGCUCGUGUCGUGAGAUGUUCGGUUAAGUCCGCCAACGAGCGCAACCCUCGCCGUAUGUUACAAGUGUCAUACGGGACCGCCGGUAUCAAGCCGGAGGAAGGUGGGGAUGACGUCAAGUCAGCAUGGCCUUUAUAUCUGGGGCUACACACACGCUACAAUGGCCGAUACAAUGGGUUGCUAAGCCGCGAGGUAGAGCCAAUCCCCAAAGUCGGCCUCAGUUCAGAUCACAGGCUGCAACUCGCCUGUGUGAAGUCGGAGUUGCUAGUAAACGCGCGUCAGCUAUAGUGCGUUGAAUACGUUCCCGGGGAUUGUACACACCGCCCGUCACGUCAUGGGAGCUGGCAACACCUGAAGCCGGUAGCCUAACCGCAAGGAGGGCGCCGUCGAGGGUGGGGUCGGUGACUGGGACGAAGUCGUAACAAGGUAG